UUUCAAUUUAAACUCAAUUUAACCUAAAAAUAAAAAAAAUCAAGGAAUUGAACUUCUUGAUUUUUUGUUAAAUCAAGAAAUUAAAAAAUUUAAUCACAAAAUUAAGAAAUUGAACAAAUUAAUUUUUUUUAUUUAAAUUAAGAAAUUUAGCCCAUAAUUAAUUUUUGGGCUAAAUUGAAUUUACACUUUUGGCUAAUUUGAACAAAAAGUUAAAAAUGGGU
RNAcentral lists this unclassified non-coding RNA (221 nucleotides) under Hevea brasiliensis (rubber tree). The record is from RNAcentral. Lineage: Eukaryota; Viridiplantae; Streptophyta; Magnoliopsida; Malpighiales; Euphorbiaceae.